UGCGUUGCGUGAUCGUCCCGCACUGGAACUCCGUCGACGUUGUUGUAUAGGCGGGUUUUUUGUGGGUGUAUGUUCACGGGUGCGGGUACCUCGUUCCGCUGACUCGGCGGCAGUCUGCGGUGAUUUUCGUUCGAGAGCGUGCCAGAGCGUUCCGCCGGGUGCAUCUCUGGUGCAGGACAGCUCAUUGAGCGAGCGGCCCAUACAUGAUUCUAUGGUGCGAAGAGCGCCCCACGUCCGACGCUGUAACCUUCGUGCCGCCUCAGCGACUGUUGACGAACGGUGCGCUGGAGCCACAGACGCGCUGACCAUGCGGCAAGGCACUGCGUAGUCGUUGCAACGGAGGUUUCCUCAGACGCAACCACUAGCGACGGAAACGGGACACCACUUCACUCGCCCGUAUGAAAGGUUACGGAAGCGAUAGCGCGUGUAGAGCGGAUGCGCCCUGUGCCCAACGGAUACCACAUAACCAGUGCGAGGACGCAUGCGGAAACGUCGCUCCAGACACACGGGGUCUGGCUGGGGCUCGUGGAACACUGCAACUUGUCGUCAGCUGCUGGGUCUCAGUUGUGGUCGACACCCGUGUCAGUGGAAAGUGGAACGGAUCCACUUUACUGACUCUGGCGAACACCAUAACGCUUGAGUAUUCGCCAUUGGUAUCAACAGAAGCCCUUGCGGGCGUUUGCUUACACUGUUUCCUUUGCUUCUCUCUUAUUUCGGCUUUUCAAUACGGGGGUCUCUCCUUUCGCUCCAGCUCCAUUGCUAACAGUGGCUGAAUAUAGGUGGCAGCAUUCAAGUCCCGAUGAUGCUGCCUCCAACUGGUGUCGAUGCGUUUCAUACACAGGUGGAUGCCACGAUCUGUGCUUCGUUCGCUGUUCGCGUCUUCCUUGUACACAGCCUCGAAGAGUCGCUUCGCAAUGGUGACAUUCGAUAAUGGCGAGGACUUUCCAGGUGUGCACCACACCUUCCUCUCUGAGGGCCUGCAUGUGGCGCAUAGGGGCUUGUUUCAGCGCUCUGUUACCGGCAGUUGACGGGCUCAGAAGGCUGCUGGCGAGAUCCUCCUCCAGUUCCGUGCCCAGUUCGGUAUCGGACGAUCACGGGUUUGUUCUGGGCAAUCCAUGCAUUGGUCUAUGACUCUGUCCGCUAUACGCACAAGCGCAUGCUGUUGCAUAGCAUUGGUUAUCAUUCGCUUCCUUGCAUGUUCUUCGUUUUCUGAGUACGCUUUCCGCAAAAUAUUCCGAUGAACGUACCGGGGAUCGAAAUCUCUUACCGACUUGUGGGCGUAGCGUCGAGGGGUUCCUUCCGUUUUCGGCAAUGGGGCCAAGGCUUGUGAUACGCCCUGUUGCGUCGCGCGCUUGCUGGCCCUUGCUGUCAUUUUUCUCGUUUCUGAAGACGAAGAUGACAGGCGUGCGAGCAGCAUGGAUAUCGGUAGCUGCCUGUCGAAGUACCGAAGACUCAUUGGUAAAGCGUGUCUUCGGUUGCCACGGGGCCUCGUAUACUCUCGUUCGGCUCGCGCGGAAGAACCGGCAUAGAUGAUCGCUCUCCUCGGAUGCAUACCGUUGCAAAUCGCACUGGGGAGCAUGUUCACGAAACCGCGCCUCUCCAUCACCUGUUGCUCCUGCGCGUAUGCCCCUUUCCGGGAGGAGGUACGUUGGCGCUCUGAGCUGGCGGUAAAGCGUAUAGGACUUUCGAGGAUGAUAACGCUUGGCUUUCUUCCAGUCGUUUGAGAGUUCCCUGAAAUGCUCGCGCGUAAGCUGCGUAGAUCGUUUCGUGAACUCGAUAUCAAGAACCAGCCCCUCAUGUUCUCCGCCGCUCUUCUCGCUCUCCAUCGGACGCCUCUGUGCCGCCGUUUCAAGGACGCGCGCAUCUAUAACGAAGCGAAAAACAGAAAGAUUGAAAACUUGAAGAAAGCGUGAUUCGAUCAUGAUUCAGGUAUGGAAAGAGGGAGAAAGGAAGCCUGUACAUAUGAAUUGGAUACAGACGUUGUGUAUCGUUUCUAGAAAACCGUUUUUCAUUCGUGUCGCGACUCAUCUGCAUUCCUUUUCGGUAUUUGCAUUCCAGCGGCAGCACGUCGAAACAGACACGCCGCACCGACGAUCGACGAUCCGGAAGCAACGUAUGGAACGGAUAUCCCUUCAUGCCGCACUUGGAAUGCCCAUGCACUGCAUCUCAAAAACUUGCGGAAAAUUUGAACAUAGGGACAAAGCGAGUUGUUCCGUUUUCCAUCCUAUUCUGGCGUGGGACUAGCGCAGUUUCCAGAGUCGGUAGCGUCCACUGCCCAGAAGUGCUGCUCUGCCUAGACUGCAAUUCAUCAGCUGCGACCCAUAUUUCAGAGCACAAUCCCUGACGGAUGCUCGAAUAAAUACUUUAUACGAUUGGAUAUGGUACUCGAGGAUACUCGUAUCAGCUCGCUCUAGGGCGUGGCGUAAAAAACUUUCGGA
Molecule: unclassified non-coding RNA, 2438 nt
Filed under: Cyanidioschyzon merolae strain 10D
Lineage: Eukaryota; Rhodophyta; Bangiophyceae; Cyanidiales; Cyanidiaceae
Description: hypothetical transcript
Source: RNAcentral